GCCGGGUGUGGUGGCGGGCACCUGUAAUCCCAGCUACUUGGGAGGCUGAGGCAGGAGAAUCGCUUGAACCCAGGAGGUGGAGGUUGCAGUGAGCUGAGAUCAUGCCACUGCACUCUAGCCUGGGCGACAGAGCAAGACUUUGUCUCAG
This 148-nucleotide non-coding RNA is filed under the name Chlorocebus sabaeus (green monkey). Lineage: Eukaryota; Metazoa; Chordata; Mammalia; Primates; Cercopithecidae. The record is from Rfam by way of RNAcentral.